AAGCCUGAUCCAGCCAUGCCGCGUGGGUGAAGAAGGCCUUCGGGUUGUAAAGCCCUUUUGUUGGGAAAGAAAAGCAGCCGGCCAAUACCCGGUUGUUCUGACGGUACCCAAAGAAUAAGCCCCGGCUAACUUCGUGCCAGCAGCCGCGGUAAUACGAAGGGGGCUAGCGUUGCUCGGAAUCACUGGGCGUAAAGGGUGCGUAGGCGGGUUUCUAAGUCAGAGGUGAAAGCCUGGAGCUCAACUCCAGAACUGCCUUUGAUACUGGAAGUCUUGAGUUCGGGAGAGGUGAGUGGAACUGCGAGUGUAGAGGUGAAAUUCGUAGAUAUUCGCAAGAACACCAGUGGCGAAGGCGGCUCACUGGCCCGAUACUGACGCUGAGGCACGAAAGCGUGGGGAGCAAACA
RNAcentral lists this ribosomal RNA (403 nucleotides) under uncultured Bradyrhizobiaceae bacterium. Its description in RNAcentral is "bacterial SSU rRNA". It matches the Rfam family "Bacterial small subunit ribosomal RNA", at positions 379 to 774 of the family's 1533-position model. Lineage: Bacteria; Pseudomonadati; Pseudomonadota; Alphaproteobacteria; Hyphomicrobiales; Nitrobacteraceae. The record is from RNAcentral.